GCGGACACGCCCGCCAGCUGCCUGUACAGCGACAUAGUGGGCUCCUGGACCUUCCACGAGGGACAGCGGAACCUCGACAGCUCCGCCCUCUGCGAAGAUUUUGAUGUCGUUCAGCAAGUGCGUGUCACGUUGUCCUACCCCAACGUUGCGGUGGACCAAUACGACAACGUCGGCACCUGGACGCUGAUAUCAAACCAGGGCUUCGAAGUGACCGUAAACGGCAGAACAUACUUUGCAUUCUCUGCCUACGAAACGGUGGGUAACGAUACCUACAGCCUGUGUGACCAGACACUGCCCGGCUGGUCACAUGACGUCACCGUGCGACACUGGUCGUGUUAUUAUGGCAUCAAGGACGGCUCCACCAGGAGGCGGCUCUCAUCUGCAAAACCCG
This is a long non-coding RNA of Schistocerca piceifrons (Central American locust), 391 nucleotides long. RefSeq lists it as uncharacterized. Lineage: Eukaryota; Metazoa; Arthropoda; Insecta; Orthoptera; Acrididae. The record is from RefSeq and is a predicted model, not a curated record. The transcript has 3 exons.